AUUAUGAAAGACAAUGCAUUCACUUGUAUUGUCACAUCAAGCUGAACAAUUAUGAUAUACUUGGUAUUAAUUAACAGUAUAAUAUUUCUCUCCUCCUCUAUCAUUCUUAAUCUAAUACUCCAACUAAAAUAUUUGUCAAUGUAGCAGAACCCUUUUUCAUCAACUCUUACUGGUUCGACUGUUUGUUUCCCUUCCUAAUUUUACAUUCAUUUCACUCCAAAAUUCCAGAAAUUCAUCUUGAAGUUGUAUGUGCUCAAAAUCCUUCUUAAAAGCUGCGAUUAAAUGUGAUUAUGCCUUCGAAAAUCAAUCUUCUUCACUCAAAAUUCUAAAGAAAUUGGAGCUGCGAUUAUGUCUUCAAAACUCAAUGUCGUUUUUUGGAACUAAGCUUCAAUUAAAAGGUGUAACUUUGAAUAUAUCACAAGCUUCUUGCGGUGCUGGCAGGAUAUAAUCAAUUUUCCUCUUUCUGCAUAUUCAAAAUUUCCUCUUAUGCCUUGAAGGUUUCAAGGGGAUAUAUGAUUCUUGGCCUUGGUUUGAUUUGUCUCCUAAAUGCAUUAAUGAUUUGUCUCUCUUAACAGCUACAGGGAACACUCUGAGAUUGCUGAGCAAGCCAAAAGGCAGUGCCGAAGUUGCAAGGUUCCACCAAGCAAGCAUAUUUGCAUAUCUUUUACGACUGAUGAUUUUGGUGAGUAGAAUUAGAAGAGGUUGGUUUGUUGCAGACUAUCAUAUAUUUAUGUAUGCUUUUGAAAUCUGCUUUCCAUUUUGAGAACCAAAGUCUCAGCAACUAUACAUGAAUUUAUGAGUAGUGGACAAGGCUAAAUAGCGGUUUUCAUGUGUGCAUCUAUUCUCUUUGAUCUGUAAUUAUGAAGUUCUGAUGGAGAAUGAGGAUGAAGGAAAGUGGGCUAGGUCAUCAUGGGUAUCGCAUUUGACUUGCAUGAUUUUAUACUUUGUGCUCGAGCGCUGAAGCUAUAUAGACAAGCUUUAAGGAAGGCUAAGCGAGCUUCGAGUCUCUCCAAAGUUCUGCAUAGGAAUAUUCAAAAACAAUCGAAGGAGUCGGGUGUUAGUGUACAAGAAAGAGGAAGAAAAGGGAAGAGAAGAAACCCGAAGAGAAAAAGACCGAGAAAUUAGAAGAGAAAAAGGCUAUGUGUUAAUCUUUUUGAUAUUCUUAUUAGAUAUUAACAAGUUUGUAUAAAGAACCUUAAUGUAAUAUCCAAUUUUGAUGUUAUCUUAAUAGAUUGGAAAAUAUUUUGCCUUAA
Long non-coding RNA from Amaranthus tricolor (Joseph's coat), 1253 nucleotides. RefSeq lists it as uncharacterized. The record is from RefSeq and is a predicted model, not a curated record. Lineage: Eukaryota; Viridiplantae; Streptophyta; Magnoliopsida; Caryophyllales; Amaranthaceae. The transcript is spliced from 5 exons.